GUGGGGAGCUUCCUUCCCUCAACUGCAGUCCUGGUGAAGGCUGCCUUCAUUACUGAAUUCAAAGCAGUGAACCUUACUACAAACCAAGGGUUCAAAUUGGAGUUUGAAAUGGGCAUGCUUCUGCAUGAACUAGAUAAGAAACGUGGAUCCAAAUGGACAAUAACGAGAACAAACAGCUUCCCUUGAAAUUGUACUCACCCCUCCCAAGAAACCCAUAAAGGGUGGACCCUGCUUAGCCAAGGGGACAAGUAAUGCUUGCUACCACAAGACCAGCUCUCUUCACAAAAAUGACAUGGACAAAAUAGAAAACUUCAGAUUGUGGCAAAUGGAAGAUCUCAAUUUCCUCCCCUCAUGUAUGAUGAAGCGGGGAAGAAGAGUAUGUACACCCAAGACUCACUACACUAAAUACCGACAACCCAAGUCUAUCUCUUCGGCGGGCGGGUGGGGCUUCCAGAGAGGUCUCCAUGCAGGCCUCGCCAAAGCCUGAAGCUCAGGAAGGAAGGAAGAAGGAAGGAAGGAGGCAGGCUGGCAGGCAGGCAGGCAGAGUGUCCAGUGCUGGCUGCCCUUGCCCACCACAACUCUCUGCAGACCCUCUGCCCAGCCCAGCCUUAAUAAUGGAGCUGUGAGGAUUAACAGAAUGUAUAACUAUUAAAGAAGUGAUGCAAGAAGAAAAGGCAUUGCCAAAGUUUAAUCAACAAGGCUAGCAAAAAGGCCAUUAGUGGCCUCAGAGGAAAUACAUCCAACUCCUUCAGUCAAAAAGAAAUGGUAGCAUUUCCAAAAGAGCUUCUAUGUCUGCUGUGCAAUAAAUAUACUAGCCAGAAUUAUGGAAAUCUUGGAACUAUUGUAAUUUAUAGUAUUUUUCUUGUAAUUUAUUGUUUCUGGAAAUGUCCACAUUUGGGUUUUUGUUGUUGUUACCCAUUCAGUCCUGUUUCCUAAUAGGACCUCUCAUUUUUUGUGGUUUAAAAAUGUUCAUGGAAUGGGUUUGACAAUCACUAACAAUUAAUGGACAACACAUUGACUGAAAGGCAUUAUCUGCAUUUUUGCUACAUUCAAAUAAACCUGCAUAUUACAUAUAGUCUCUUAGCUUUGUAAUGGGAUUCAGAGAUGAAAGCAGUGUUUGACUUACCAGAUGCAAGGGGACAUAUUUUGUACAGUAUAAUCACCAUCUUGAAAUAAAAAAAGAGUGGGACGAUUAAAGAGAGGAUUACAGAGGGCAUUGCCUGUGAGAGUUAACUUCCUGUCUGAAUACUCCUAAUUAUAUUUUGCAGUUUACCUGAGUCUUCUGUUCCACAUUGUGGGUGAUUUGUUUUGCUGAGGCUGUCAUUGAUCAAUCAGUUAAUCUUUGUAUCUGCGUACCACCAGAAGAAAGGGGAAAGAAGUAGAAAAUAUUAAAGUAUAUCCUUUAGAAGACAGGGAUCCAGUAUGCAUUUCUAAAAUGCAGACUCUUUGUAUUAGUUGCAAAAGUGGUUAAACGUUCUUGGGUCAAUUUGGAACAUCUGCUCCCAAUUUAACGUUUUGCUUUCAAUUAUUUUAAAUAUGUUUUACCUGAAAAUGAUUUGUUUUAAAGGGUGAAGGGUGGUGGAGAUUUUUAUCUCUGUCAAUGACAGCACUUCAUCAGUGGAGCAGCAAUGUGCACUCAGGAAAUCCCCCAUCUGCUGCCUUCUUGACUUUUAAAGAAA
Molecule: long non-coding RNA, 1679 nt
Organism: Hemicordylus capensis (graceful crag lizard)
Lineage: Eukaryota; Metazoa; Chordata; Lepidosauria; Squamata; Cordylidae
Exons: 6
Source: RefSeq, a predicted model, not a curated record